GAUGAACGCUGGCGGCGUGCCUAAUACAUGCAAGUCGAGCGAACAGACGAGGAGCUUGCUCCUUUGACGUUAGCGGCGGACGGGUGAGUAACACGUGGAUAACCUACCUAUAAGACUGGGAUAACUUCGGGAAACCGGAGCUAAUACCGGAUAACAUUUUGAACCGCAUGGUUCAAAAGUGAAAGACGGUCUUGCUGUCACUUAUAGAUGGAUCCGCGCCGCAUUAGCUAGUUGGUAAGGUAACGGCUUACCAAGGCAACGAUGCGUAGCCGACCUGAGAGGGUGAUCGGCCACACUGGAACUGAGACACGGUCCAGACUCCUACGGGAGGCAGCAGUAGGGAAUCUUCCGCAAUGGGCGAAAGCCUGACGGAGCAACGCCGCGUGAGUGAAGAAGGUCUUCGGAUCGUAAAACUCUGUUAUUAGGGAAGAACAAAUGUGUAAGUAACUAUGCACGUCUUGACGGUACCUAAUCAGAAAGCCACGGCUAACUACGUG
RNAcentral lists this ribosomal RNA (497 nucleotides) under uncultured bacterium. RNAcentral's name for it is "partial 16S ribosomal RNA". It matches the Rfam family "Bacterial small subunit ribosomal RNA", at positions 28 to 507 of the family's 1533-position model. The record is from RNAcentral.